Molecule: long non-coding RNA, 488 nt
Organism: Hippocampus comes (tiger tail seahorse)
Lineage: Eukaryota; Metazoa; Chordata; Actinopteri; Syngnathiformes; Syngnathidae
Exons: 2
Source: RefSeq, a predicted model, not a curated record
CGAACAUCAGCCGGUGGUGCACUUUGGCCGCUAACCUGUUGCGUCAAGAGGAGGCGAGGAACGGUUUGCACAAUCUCCACCUUCCCUGCAGUCUGAUGAACACCCCCCGAGGUGGCAGCAACAGUACUCAGAUAUACUCCGUACUUCAGUAGAUGUACAGUCGAAAUUUCUGUUUAAAAAAAAAAACUAUAAAAAGUGAAAGUAGUAACUCCUUUAUUCAAAAAUGGACAGACUAAAUAAUUCUUCACAACUAUAAGCUGAAUAUGAACGGUCAAUUAUGGACAAUGCCCCAUAUUGAUAACUUGGCACAAUAGAAAAUAAAGAACUGGAGGCAAAAUGGUUUCUUCCCUUUAAAUAAUUGCAUUGUGUACGUACUGAAAAGAUCUAAAAAUGGAUAUUAAUGGUCUCAAUUUAAAAUGAAGGACAGGAUUGCCAAAAGCUCUGCUGGCAUUAUGAACAGGCUCGCAAAAAAAAAAAAAAAAAAAAAA